GCUGGGAUGCCGGAGUGGACAAUCGGUACAGACUGUAAAUCUGUCGCCCGAAAGGGCUUCCUAGGUUCGAAUCCUAGUCCCAGCA
RNAcentral lists this transfer RNA (85 nucleotides) under Candidatus Gottesmanbacteria bacterium RIFCSPHIGHO2_01_FULL_46_14. RNAcentral describes it as "tRNA-Tyr". It matches the Rfam family "tRNA". From Rfam's summary of the family: Transfer RNA (tRNA) molecules are approximately 80 nucleotides in length. Their secondary structure includes four short double-helical elements and three loops (D, anti-codon, and T loops). Lineage: Bacteria; Candidatus Gottesmaniibacteriota. RNAcentral also lists the same sequence under 1 other name. The record is from RNAcentral.